GCCGCCGUAGCUCAGGGGUAGAGCACUCCCUUGGUAAGGGAGGGGCCGGAAGUUCGAUUCUUCCCGGCGGCACCA
RNAcentral lists this transfer RNA (75 nucleotides) under Rhodospirillaceae bacterium. Its description in RNAcentral is "tRNA-Thr". It matches the Rfam family "tRNA". Rfam says of the family: Transfer RNA (tRNA) molecules are approximately 80 nucleotides in length. RNAcentral also lists the same sequence under 1 other name. Lineage: Bacteria; Pseudomonadati; Pseudomonadota; Alphaproteobacteria; Rhodospirillales; Rhodospirillaceae. The record is from RNAcentral.